UUGCAUGUCAAACUGCAUCUGAUUGGUCCUCUGGGCGUGAGAGUGCAGUGCAUUGACCAGUCGUUUUGCAGCGCUGCGCUGACUCAUUCCUGCCCCGAGCUGAGAGCGCUCAAAGUCCAGAUUGCCGAGACCAUCUGAUCUCAGCAGGUUGGGCUGUGACUGGAUCUCCUGGACAGCAUACAGCUCCUUCAGACUGAACUCCUCCCCUCUGGAACGAUCUUCAUGUGACCCUCCUGAUCCUUGAGCUGAUUUGGACUUCUGACCUACACGUUAAAUAGAAAUAACACCUUAUUGCUCUGUUAUGUCAAAACAAAAUAUAUCACUGCCUUGCAAGA
Acanthopagrus latus (yellowfin seabream) is the source of this 335-nucleotide long non-coding RNA. RefSeq lists it as uncharacterized. The record is from RefSeq and is a predicted model, not a curated record. NCBI's taxonomy places the organism in Eukaryota, Metazoa, Chordata, Actinopteri, Spariformes, Sparidae. The transcript has 2 exons.